This 72-nucleotide transfer RNA is filed under the name Megalops atlanticus (tarpon). It matches the Rfam family "tRNA". From Rfam's summary of the family: Transfer RNA (tRNA) molecules are approximately 80 nucleotides in length. Their secondary structure includes four short double-helical elements and three loops (D, anti-codon, and T loops). Lineage: Eukaryota; Metazoa; Chordata; Actinopteri; Elopiformes; Megalopidae. The record is from Rfam by way of RNAcentral.
GGUUCCAUGGUGUAAUGGUCAGCAUUCUAGACUUUGAAUCCAGUGAUCCGAGUUCAAGUCUGAGUGGAACCU